This 1518-nucleotide unclassified non-coding RNA is filed under the name uncultured fungus. RNAcentral's name for it is "sequence contains 18S rRNA gene, ITS1, 5.8S rRNA gene, ITS2, 28S rRNA gene". The stretch from base 451 to 1518 matches the Rfam family "Eukaryotic large subunit ribosomal RNA", at positions 1 to 961 of the family's 3401-position model. The record is from RNAcentral. Lineage: Eukaryota; Fungi.
GGAAGGAUCAUUAGAAAUUUUAUGUAUUCAAAAAUUUUAAAUCUUUUUUAAUCUAAAAAAUUUAUAAAUUAAUUAUGAGACAACUUUCAACAACGGAUCUCUUGGCUCUUGCAUCGAUGAAGAACGCAGCGAAAUGCGAUAAGUAAUGUGAAUUGCAGAAUUCCGUGAAUCAUCAAAUCUUUGAACGCAAAUUGCACUCUUUGGUAUUCCGAGGAGUAUGCUUGCUUGAGGGUUGUUCCAAUAAAAUCGUUUUUUUAAAAACGGAUCUGAGUUUUCCAAUUUUGUUAUUGGUAAUUUUAAAUUGAUCUUGACGAUAUCUUUGGUAUGAUAUUGGAAAUGGUUAUAUUCUUACAUCUCGUGAGUUUCAUUAACAAUUGAUUACCUGUCGUUACGUCGUAUCAUUUACCCGAUCCUUUUUUAAUUGGGUUAGAUGAUACAAAUUUUCUUUCAACACCUCAAGUCAAGUAAGAAUACCCGCUGAACUUAAGCAUAUCAAUAAGCGGAGGAAAAGAAACUAACAAGGAUUCCCUUAGUAACGGCGAGUGAAGUGGGAAGAGCUCAAAUUUUAAAUCUCCGAGGUUUCCUUGGCGAGUUGUAAUUUGAAGAGAGUGUUUUGACAUUCAGGUUUAAUUUAAAUCCUUUGGGAUAAGGUAUCAUAGAGGGUGAGAAUCCCGUUUAUGAUUAAAUCUCGAGUGUCGCUUAAUUCACUUUCCAAGAGUCGAGUUGUUUGGGAUUGCAGCUCAAAACGGGUGGUAAAUUUCACCUAAGGCUAAAUAUGUGCAAGAGACCGAUAGCGAACAAGUACCGUGAGGGAAAGAUGAAAGAACUUUGAAAAGAGAGUUAAAUAGUACGUGAAAUUGUUGAAAGGGAAACGAUUGAAGUCAGUCAUGCUAGUGAGGAAUCAACUUGAUGGUGUGUGGGUUCUCUCGCAUACUUUCCGGUGCACUUCCUUGCUCGGCAGGUUAGCAUCAAUUUCGGUUAUCAUAAAAAUUUGAGGGAAUGUGGCUUUUCUUCGGAAAAGUGUUAUAGACCUUGAUCGAUGUGGUGACCGGGAUUGAGGAUUGCAGCGGAUACCCUCGUGGCUUAUCACCUGGCUUCUGACGGUUACCCGCUUUCGACAGCUCGCUAACGUUAGUGGGACUCGAUUGUCUAGAUGUCAGAGUGAUUUAUAUUCGCUAAGGAUGCUGACGUAAUGGCUUUAAACGACCCGUCUUGAAACACGGACCAAGGAGUCUAACAUGUGUGCGAGUGUUUGGGUUUUCAAACCCGGAACGCGUAAUGAAAGUAAUCUUGGUGGGAACCCCUCGGGGUGCACCAUCGACCGAUCAGGAUAUUUUUUGAUAGAUUUGAGUAAGAGCACAUCUGUUGGGACCCGAAAGAUGGUGAACUAUGCCUGAAUAGGGUGAAGCCAGAGGAAACUCUGGUGGAAGCUCGUAGCGGUUCUGACGUGCAAAUCGAUCGUCAAAUUUGGGUAUAGGGGCGAAAGACUAAUCGAACCAUCUAGUAGCUGGUUCCUGC